RNAcentral lists this ribosomal RNA (1409 nucleotides) under metagenome. RNAcentral's name for it is "bacterial SSU rRNA". It matches the Rfam family "Bacterial small subunit ribosomal RNA". The record is from RNAcentral.
AGAGUUUGAUUCUGGCUCAGAACGAACGCUGGCGGCAGGCUUAACACAUGCAAGUCGAACGAUAUAGUGGCAGACGGGUGAGUAACGCGUGGAAACGUGCCUUUCACUACGGAAUAGCUUUUGGAAACGAAAGGUAAUACCGUAUACGCCCUCCGGGGGAAAGAUUUAUCGGUGAAAGAUCGGUCCGCGUUAGAUUAGCUAGUUGGUGAGGUAAGAGCUCACCAAGGCGACGAUCUAUAGCUGGUCUGAGAGGAUGAUCAGCCACACUGGGACUGAGACACGGCCCAGACUCCUACGGCAGGCAGCAGUGGGGAAUAUUGCACAAUGGGCGCAAGCCUGAUGCAGCCAUGCCGCGUGAAUGAUGAAGGCCUUAGGGUUGUAAAAUUCUUUCGCUAGGGAUGAUAAUGACAGUACCUAGUAAAGAAGCCCCGGCUAACUUCGUGCCAGCAGCCGCGGUAAUACGAAGGGGGCUAGCGUUGUUCGGAAUUACUGGGCGUAAAGCGCACGUAGGCGGACUUUUAAGUCAGAUGUGAAAUCCCAAGGCUCAACCUUGGAACUGCAUUUGAAACUGGGAGUCUAGAGAUCAGGAGAGGUUAGUGGAAUACCGAGUGUAGAGGUGAAAUUCGUAGAUAUUCGGUGGAACACCAGUGGCGAAGGCGACUAACUGGACUGAUACUGACGCUGAGGUGCGAAAGUGUGGGGAGCAAACAGGAUUAGAUACCCUGGUAGUCCACACCGUAAACGAUGAGAGCUAGUUGUCUGCAGGCAUGCCUGUAGGUGACGCAGCUAACGCAUUAAGCUCUCCGCCUGGGGAGUACGGCCGCAAGGUUAAAACUCAAAGAAAUUGACGGGGGCCCGCACAAGCGGUGGAGCAUGUGGUUUAAUUCGAAGCAACGCGCAGAACCUUACCUACGCUUGACAUGCCUGGACGACUCCGAGAGAUCGGUUUCUCCCUUCGGGGCCGGUGCACAGGUGCUGCAUGGCUGUCGUCAGCUCGUGUCGUGAGAUGUUGGGUUAAGUCCCGCAACGAGCGCAACCCUCAUCCUUAGUUGCCAUCACGUUUGGGUGGGCACUCUAGGGAAACUGCCGGUGCUAAGCCGGAGGAAGGCGGGGAUGACGUCAAGUCCUCAUGGCCCUUACGCGUAGGGCUACACACGUGCUACAAUGGCAGUGACAAUGGGAUAAUCCCCAAAAGCUGUCUCAGUUCGGAUUGUCGGCUGCAACUCGCCGGCAUGAAGUUGGAAUCGCUAGUAAUCGUGGAUCAGCAUGCCACGGUGAAUACGUUCCCGGGCCUUGUACACACCGCCCGUCACACCAUGGGAGUUGGAUCUACCCGAAGAUUGUGAGCUAACUUCGGAGGCAGCAAGCCACGGUAGGUUCAGCGACUGGGGUGAAGUCGUAACAAGGUA